UACGGAGGGUGCAAGCGUUAUCCGGAUUCACUGGGUUUAAAGGGUGCGUAGGUGGGCAGGUAAGUCAGUGGUGAAAUCUCCGAGCUUAACUCGGAAACUGCCGUUGAUACUAUUGUCUUGAAUAUUGUGGAGGUAAGCGGAAUAUGUCAUGUAGCGGUGAAAUGCUUAGAUAUGACAUAGAACACCAAUUGCGAAGGCAGCUUACUACACAACCAUUGACGCUGAGGCACGAAAGCGUGGGGAUCAAACAGG
Molecule: ribosomal RNA, 252 nt
Filed under: uncultured bacterium
Lineage: Bacteria
Description: partial 16S ribosomal RNA
Rfam family: Bacterial small subunit ribosomal RNA
Source: RNAcentral